GAAACAGAGCAGUGGUAGCAUAGCAGAAGUACUCAUGUUGUGACCCUGUCAGAUUCCAACAAAUCUGCAAAUUCUGCU
Molecule: long non-coding RNA, 78 nt
Filed under: Crocodylus porosus (Australian saltwater crocodile)
Lineage: Eukaryota; Metazoa; Chordata; Crocodylia; Crocodylidae
Description: Mammalian CPEB3 ribozyme (ENSCPRG00005008145.1)
Rfam family: Mammalian CPEB3 ribozyme
About the family: The mammalian CPEB3 ribozyme is a self cleaving RNA located in the second intron of the CPEB3 gene which belongs to a family of genes regulating messenger RNA polyadenylation. This ribozyme is highly conserved and found only in mammals. There is currently only one other known self cleaving ribozyme in mammals, the CoTC motif.
Source: RNAcentral